This 381-nucleotide ribosomal RNA is filed under the name uncultured bacterium. RNAcentral describes it as "bacterial SSU rRNA". It matches the Rfam family "Bacterial small subunit ribosomal RNA", at positions 29 to 403 of the family's 1533-position model. The record is from RNAcentral.
AGUGAACGCUGGCGGCGUGCUUAACACAUGCAAGUCGAGCGAAUUUCAACAGCGUAUCGUUGGAGUUAGCGGCAGACGGGUGAGUAAUAUUUAGACAAUCUUCCCUCGAGUGGGAAACAACCUGGCGAAAGUCGGGCUAAUGUCCCAUAAGACCACGGAGUGGCAUCAUUCAGAGGUCAAAGGUCCGCAAGGGCCGCUGGAGGAGGAGUCUAAAUCCUAUCAUGGUAGUUGGUGAGGUAACGGCUCACCAAGCCUACGACGGGUAGCCGGCCUGAAAGGGUGAUCGGCCACACUGGCACUGAGACACGGGCCAGACUCCUACGGAGGCAGCAGUGGGGAAUUUUGGACAAUGGGGCAACCCUGAUCCAGCGACGCCGCGUG